RNAcentral lists this ribosomal RNA (497 nucleotides) under uncultured bacterium. RNAcentral's name for it is "partial 16S ribosomal RNA". It matches the Rfam family "Bacterial small subunit ribosomal RNA", at positions 28 to 507 of the family's 1533-position model. The record is from RNAcentral.
GACGAACGCUGGCGGCGUGCCUAAUACAUGCAAGUUGAGCGAUGAAGAUUGGUGCUUGCACCAAUUUGAAGAGCGGCGAACGGGUGAGUAACGCGUGGGGAAUCUGCCUUUGAGCGGGGGACAACAUUUGGAAACGAAUGCUAAUACCGCAUAACAACUUUAAACAUAAGUUUUAAGUUUGAAAGAUGCAAUUGCAUCACUCAAAGAUGAUCCCGCGUUGUAUUAGCUAGUUGGUGAGGUAAAGGCUCACCAAGGCGAUGAUACAUAGCCGACCUGUGAGGGUGAUCGGCCACAUUGGGACUGAGACACGGCCCAAACUCCUACGGGAGGCAGCAGUAGGGAAUCUUCGGCAAUGGACGAAAGUCUGACCGAGCAACGCCGCGUGAGUGAAGAAGGUUUUCGGAUCGUAAAACUCUGUUGGUAGAGAAGAACGUUGGUGAGAGUGGAAAGCUCAUCAAGUGACGGUAACUACCCAGAAAGGGACGGCUAACUACGUG